This 388-nucleotide transfer-messenger RNA is filed under the name Acholeplasmatales. RNAcentral's name for it is "RGIG10196 sp017961685 Standard tmRNA". It matches the Rfam family "transfer-messenger RNA". From Rfam's summary of the family: Bacterial tmRNA, also known as 10Sa RNA or SsrA, is named for its dual tRNA and mRNA-like properties. Its role is to liberate the mRNA from a stalled ribosome. To accomplish this part of the tmRNA is used as a reading frame that ends in a translation stop signal. The record is from RNAcentral. RNAcentral also lists the same sequence under 1 other name. Lineage: Bacteria; Bacillati; Mycoplasmatota; Mollicutes.
GGGGGUGUUUAUGGAUUCGCCAUGCUAAAUUGAAGUAUACUUGCAUGUCGUGGUUAAGCACGUUAAAACUCGAGGUUUCAAAUAACCGGAAAAACAAAUUUAUUCGCACGUUCAAACAAUAUGAACGCUGCAUUCGCUUGCUAAUUACCCGCGAGGUAUAGAGCGAUAUCUAUUUAGUGGCCUUUCCUGCACCGCUAUCUAGAUACUCAGUCAGCAGGGAUAUACCUUUAGGCGCGAUCCUAACCGAAAAGAUGAAUUUAAUUGGAUGUAGGUAGUAUUUGGUUCGCUAGGAUACCUGGUAUUACUGAAAGUUAAAUUGUAGCUAAGCAUGUAGGUAGUAUAUGGAUUUGUAGUGUGUACAGGGGUUCGACUCCCCUCACCUCCACCA